RNAcentral lists this ribosomal RNA (252 nucleotides) under uncultured bacterium. Its description in RNAcentral is "partial 16S ribosomal RNA". It matches the Rfam family "Bacterial small subunit ribosomal RNA", at positions 524 to 776 of the family's 1533-position model. The record is from RNAcentral.
UACGGAGGAUGCGAGCGUUAUCCGGAUUUAUUGGGUUUAAAGGGUGCGCAGGCGGAGGCACAAGUCAGCGGUAAAAUCGCGGGGCUCAACCUCCGCCCGCCGUUGAAACUGACGGUCUUGAGUGGGCGAGAAGUAUGCGGAAUGCGUGGUGUAGCGGUGAAAUGCAUAGAUAUCACGCAGAACUCCGAUUGCGAAGGCAGCAUACCGGCGCCCAACUGACGCUGAAGCACGAAAGCGUGGGUAUCGAACAGG